GGGGACCUUCCACGGUCUCUGCGACGCAGCUAACGCAUUAAGUGCCCCGCCUGGGGAGUACGAUCGCAAGAUUAAAACUCAAAGGAAUUGACGGGGCCCCGCACAAGCAGCGGAGCAUGCGGCUUAAUUCGACGCAACGCGAAGAACCUUACCAAGGCUUGACAUAUACAGGAAUAUGGCAGAGAUGUCAUAGCCGCAAGGUCUGUAUACAGGUGGUGCAUGGUUGUCGUCAGCUCGUGUCGUGAGAUGUUGGGUUAAGUCCCGCAACGAGCGCAACCCUCGUUCUGUGUUGCCAGCAUUUAGUUGGGGACUCACAGGAGACUGCCCGGGGUUAACUCGGAGGAAGGUGGGGAUGACGUCAAAUCAUCAUGCCCCUUAUGUCUUGGGCUGCACGCAUGCUACAAUGGCUGGUACAAACGGCUGCGAUACCGCAAGGUGGAGCGAAUCCGAUAAAGCCAGUCUCAGUUCGGAUUGGGGUCUGCAACUCGACCCCAUGAAGUCGGAGUUGCUAGUAAUCGUAGAUCAGCAACGCUACGGUGAAUACGUUCCCGGGGCUUGUACACACCGCCCGUCACGUCACGAAAGUCGGUAACACCCGAAGUCAGUGGCCCAACCGCAAGGAG
This 623-nucleotide ribosomal RNA is filed under the name uncultured Actinomycetes bacterium. Its description in RNAcentral is "bacterial SSU rRNA". It matches the Rfam family "Bacterial small subunit ribosomal RNA", at positions 824 to 1448 of the family's 1533-position model. Lineage: Bacteria; Bacillati; Actinomycetota; Actinomycetes. The record is from RNAcentral.